Molecule: ribosomal RNA, 433 nt
Filed under: uncultured bacterium
Lineage: Bacteria
Description: partial 16S ribosomal RNA
Rfam family: Bacterial small subunit ribosomal RNA
Source: RNAcentral
AACGAACGCUGGCGGCAUGCCUAACACAUGCAGGUCGAACGAGACCUUCGGGUCUAGUGGCGCACGGGUGCGUAACGCGUGGGAACCUGCCCUUAGGUUCGGAAUAACUCCCCGAAAGGGGUGCUAAUACCGGAUAAUGUCUUCGGACCAAAGAUUUAUCGCCUUUGGAUGGGCCCGCGUUGGAUUAGCUAGUUGGUAGGGUAAAAGCCUACCAAGGCGACGAUCCAUAGCUGGUCUGAGAGGAUGAUCAGCCACACUGGGACUGAGACACGGCCCAGACUCCUACGGGAGGCAGCAGUGGGGAAUAUUGGACAAUGGGCGAAAGCCUGAUCCAGCAAUGCUGCGUGAGUGAUGAAGGCCUUAGGGUUGUAAAGCUCUUUUACCCGGGAUGAUAAUGACAGUACCGGGAGAAUAAGCUCCGGCUAACUCCGUG